Molecule: long non-coding RNA, 441 nt
Organism: Oryctolagus cuniculus (rabbit)
Lineage: Eukaryota; Metazoa; Chordata; Mammalia; Lagomorpha; Leporidae
Source: RefSeq, a predicted model, not a curated record
UCCACCACCCUCCAUUUCCUUCUUCAGUCACCGAAGCGAGCCCAGCGGCCUUCCUCGGCGCCCAGGGGCGCGGGGCUUCGAGCACAGGGCGCAGCCACCGUGUCCGCACCAGAUCCAGGGUUGGAUCUACCUCCACAUGGACUCGAGGACACUCCCGACAGUGAAAGAAUUCAAGAUGCUUUUGAGGUGCAUUGGAGGGGAGCUGGAUCAGAAAUGGAACAGCUGGGACUUGAACUAGCACCCACAUGGGAUGCCGGCGUUGCAAGCGGCACCACAACACCAACCCUAAGAAGUAACAUCACCUUCUAUAGUUAACAGACCUAAGUUUUCAUGAGGCAUGUCAAUCACACUCACGGUUGGAAGAACUAACCUGUCCCACCAUGUCAGAAGCAAUGGGAAGGGUCGGCCAGAAGCGAGAAUAAAUUAUGAAGAAGACCAGCC